This 61-nucleotide transfer RNA is filed under the name Erythranthe guttata (spotted monkey flower). RNAcentral describes it as "Mimulus guttatus (spotted monkey flower) tRNA". It matches the Rfam family "tRNA", at positions 7 to 64 of the family's 71-position model. From Rfam's summary of the family: Transfer RNA (tRNA) molecules are approximately 80 nucleotides in length. Their secondary structure includes four short double-helical elements and three loops (D, anti-codon, and T loops). The record is from Rfam by way of RNAcentral. Lineage: Eukaryota; Viridiplantae; Streptophyta; Magnoliopsida; Lamiales; Phrymaceae.
UUAGUUCAGUUCAGUAGAACGUGGGUCUCCAAAACCUGAUGUCGUAGGUUCAAAUCCUACA